RNAcentral lists this transfer RNA (72 nucleotides) under Sterkiella histriomuscorum. RNAcentral's name for it is "tRNA-Gly". The stretch from base 1 to 52 matches the Rfam family "tRNA", at positions 20 to 71 of the family's 71-position model. Rfam says of the family: Transfer RNA (tRNA) molecules are approximately 80 nucleotides in length. Their secondary structure includes four short double-helical elements and three loops (D, anti-codon, and T loops). Further hydrogen bonds mediate the characteristic L-shaped molecular structure. tRNAs have two regions of fundamental functional importance: the anti-codon, which is responsible for specific mRNA codon recognition, and the 3' end, to which the tRNAs corresponding amino acid is attached (by aminoacyl-tRNA synthetases). tRNAs cope with the degeneracy of the genetic code in two manners: having more than one tRNA (with a specific anti-codon) for a particular amino acid; and 'wobble' base-pairing, i.e. permitting non-standard base-pairing at the 3rd anti-codon position. The record is from RNAcentral. Lineage: Eukaryota; Ciliophora; Spirotrichea; Sporadotrichida; Oxytrichidae.
AGGAUAGGUGCCUUCCAAGCACUUGACCCGGGUUCGAAUCCCGGUUGAUGAAGAAUUUUUUUUGCAGCCGCU